GAUGAACGCUGGCGGCGUGCCUAAUACAUGCAAGUCGAGCGAACGGACGAGAAGCUUGCUUCUCUGAUGUUAGCGGCGGACGGGUGAGUAACACGUGGAUAACCUACCUAUAAGACUGGGAUAACUUCGGGAAACCGGAGCUAAUACCGGAUAAUAUUUUGAACCGCAUGGUUCAAAAGUGAAAGACGGUCUUGCUGUCACUUAUAGAUUGAUCCGCGCUGCAUUAGCUAGUUGGUAAGGUAACGGCUUACCAAGGCAACGAUGCAUAGCCGACCUGAGCGGGUGAUCGGCCACACUGGAACUGAGACACGGUCCAGACUCCUACGGGAGGCAGCAGUAGGGAAUCUUCCGCAAUGGGCGAAAGCCUGACGGAGCAACGCCGCGUGAGUGAUGAAGGGCUUCGGAUCGUAAAACUCUGUUAUUAGGGAAGAACAUAUGUGUAAGUAACUGUGCACAUCUUGACGGUACCUAAUCAGAAAGCCACGGCUAACUACGUG
RNAcentral lists this ribosomal RNA (497 nucleotides) under uncultured bacterium. RNAcentral describes it as "partial 16S ribosomal RNA". It matches the Rfam family "Bacterial small subunit ribosomal RNA", at positions 28 to 507 of the family's 1533-position model. The record is from RNAcentral.